RNAcentral lists this ribosomal RNA (550 nucleotides) under Hynobius leechii (Gensan salamander). RNAcentral describes it as "partial 16S ribosomal RNA". It matches the Rfam family "Bacterial large subunit ribosomal RNA", at positions 1843 to 2601 of the family's 2925-position model. Lineage: Eukaryota; Metazoa; Chordata; Amphibia; Caudata; Hynobiidae. The record is from RNAcentral.
GGUUAGAGGUCUGCCUGCCCGNGGACAUUAAGUUUAACGGCCGCGGUAUUAUGACCGUGCAAAGGUAGCGUAAUCACUUGUCUUUUAAAUAAAGACCAGUAUGAAUGGCAAGACGAAAGUUCAACUGUCUCCCUAAAUUAAUCAGUGAAAUUGAUUUCUCCGUGCAGAAGCGGAGAUAAAAUUAUAAGACGAGAAGACCCUAUGGAGCUUUAAACAUAUAAUCAAUUGUAUUCCAUAAAAUCCGAAAGAUAAAAUAUAAAAUAAAACAAUAUGAUUAAAAUUUUAGGUUGGGGCGACCACGGAGAAAAACAAAACCUCCGAGAUGAAAAGAAUAUCUUAAUUUAAGAACCACAAUUCCAAAAAAUAAAAUAUUUAACAUAAUUGAUCCAAUAUUUUGAUCAACGAACCAAGUUACCCUAGGGAUAACAGCGCAAUCCUCUCCAAGAGUCCCUAUCGACGAGUGGGUUUACGACCUCGAUGUUGGAUCAGGACACCCCGAUGGUGCAGCCGCUAUUAAAGGUUCGUUUGUUCAACGAUUAAAGUCCUACGU